GACGAACGCUGGCGGCGUGCCUAAUACAUGCAAGUCGAGCGAGCUUGCCUAGAUGAAUUUGGUGCUUGCACCAGAUGAAACUAGAUACAAGCGAGCGGCGGACGGGUGAGUAACACGUGGGUAACCUGCCCAAGAGACUGGGAUAACACCUGGAAACAGAUGCUAAUACCGGAUAACAACACUAGACGCAUGUCUAGAGUUUAAAAGAUGGUUCUGCUAUCACUCUUGGAUGGACCUGCGGUGCAUUAGCUAGUUGGUAAGGUAACGGCUUACCAAGGCAAUGAUGCAUAGCCGAACUGAGAGGUUGAUCGGCCACAUUGGGACUGAGACACGGCCCAAACUCCUACGGGAGGCAGCAGUAGGGAAUCUUCCACAAUGGACGCAAGUCUGAUGGAGCAACGCCGCGUGAGUGAAGAAGGGUUUCGGCUCGUAAAGCUCUGUUGGUAGUGAAGAAAGAUAGAGGUAGUAACUGGCCUUUAUUUGACGGUAAUUACUUAGAAAGUCACGGCUAACUACGUGCCAGCAGCCGCGGUAAUACGUAGGUGGCAAGCGUUGUCCGGAUUUAUUGGGCGUAAAGCGAGUGCAGGCGGUUCAAUAAGUCUGAUGUGAAAGCCUUCGGCUCAACCGGAGAAUUGCAUCAGAAACUGUUGAACUUGAGUGCAGAAGAGGAGAGUGGAACUCCAUGUGUAGCGGUGGAAUGCGUAGAUAUAUGGAAGAACACCAGUGGCGAAGGCGGCUCUCUGGUCUGCAACUGACGCUGAGGCUCGAAAGCAUGGGUAGCGAACAGG
This 788-nucleotide ribosomal RNA is filed under the name uncultured Lactobacillus sp. Its description in RNAcentral is "bacterial SSU rRNA". It matches the Rfam family "Bacterial small subunit ribosomal RNA", at positions 28 to 776 of the family's 1533-position model. Lineage: Bacteria; Bacillati; Bacillota; Bacilli; Lactobacillales; Lactobacillaceae. The record is from RNAcentral.